RNAcentral lists this ribosomal RNA (407 nucleotides) under uncultured bacterium. RNAcentral describes it as "bacterial SSU rRNA". It matches the Rfam family "Bacterial small subunit ribosomal RNA", at positions 355 to 776 of the family's 1533-position model. The record is from RNAcentral.
UGGGGAAUAUUGGGCAAUGGGCGAAAGCCUGACCCAGCAACGCCGCGUGAAGGAAGAAGGUCUUCGGAUUGUAAACUUCUUUUAUGAGGGACGAAGGACGUGACGGUACCUCAUGAAUAAGCCACGGCUAACUACGUGCCAGCAGCCGCGGUAAUACGUAGGUGGCAAGCGUUAUCCGGAUUUACUGGGUGUAAAGGGCGCGUAGGCGGGGAUGCAAGUCAGAUGUGAAAUCUAUGGGCUUAACCCAUAAACUGCAUUUGAAACUGUAUCUCUUGAGUGCUGGAGAGGUAGAUGGAAUUCCUUGUGUAGCGGUGAAAUGCGUAGAUAUAAGGAAGAACACCAGUGGCGAAGGCGAUCUACUGGACAGUAACUGACGCUGAGGCGCGAGAGCGUGGGGAGCAAACAGG